AUUGAACGCUGGCGGCAUGCUUUACACAUGCAAGUCGAACGGCAGCGCGGGCUUCGGCCUGGCGGCGAGUGGCGAACGGGUGAGUAAUACAUCGGAACGUGCCCAGUAGUGGGGGAUAGCUCGGCGAAAGCCGGAUUAAUACCGCAUACGACCUGAGGGUGAAAGCGGGGGAUCUUCGGACCUCGCGCUAUUGGAGCGGCCGAUGGCAGAUUAGCUAGUUGGUGGGGUAAAGGCCUACCAAGGCGACGAUCUGUAGCUGGUCUGAGAGGACGACCAGCCACACUGGGACUGAGACACGGCCCAGACUCCUACGGGAGGCAGCAGUGGGGAAUUUUGGACAAUGGGCGAAAGCCUGAUCCAGCAAUGCCGCGUGUGUGAUGAGGGCCUUCGGGUUGUAAAGCACUUUUGGCGGGAACGAAAAGGACUGUGCCAAUACCACGGUUCGAUGACGGUACCCGCAGAAUAAGCACCGGCUAACUACGU
Molecule: ribosomal RNA, 483 nt
Filed under: uncultured bacterium
Lineage: Bacteria
Description: partial 16S ribosomal RNA
Rfam family: Bacterial small subunit ribosomal RNA
Source: RNAcentral